GGUUCCCAGCACUUUCAGGGUGUUCUUUUUAUCUCAACUCCAUCAGAGUUCAACAGACAUGGAUGGCUUCAUUGUGGGAAGCCCACAGGGGCUCUGAGGUGGCGGUAGGGUGUGUUGUGCUGGUUCUCUUGACAUGCCACCAGCUUCUAGUGAGCAACCCAGGAUCACUCAGACGCUGGCAGUCUGAUAAGGACGCUUUGAUUGUCAAGUGUGUUUGCUUAUUGAAUCUGCUUACACAGAGCAUAUCCCUUCUCCUGUCUCAUCCUUUCAAGGUCACCUGGCAGCAAAACAAAAAGGGCUGCUCAGUAGAUUGCAAUUUCUGAUCAGUGACACAAUAAAUGAAGUUGUCUACACCAUUAUCCUCCUAAUAAAACCCUGAGUGGAGCCCUAGGGUCUCCAUGUGGGUUUAUUCACUGCCUGACUGUGGAGAUGGAAUUAGUAACUCUUUGUUGUGUAGCGCAUAGAUGUUGGCCUGUGUGGAAAGAGAGCGAAAGGGCUGGACAAAGGCCAUGAUCAAGCUCUCUGGCACUUGCUUGGUGACAUUCAGCAAUUCAAUGGCUGCUAUUGUCUUAAAAUCUGGGCAAGUUGUACUCACAAGGCCACUUAAAGCACUCAGCCUCUGCUACUAACCAUGCCACUGUUGCAACUGUUUCCUUGCUCCCUGUGAACUUUCAGGUGCUAAAAAAUCCAAGGUAGCAUCCAGUCUGGUCCUUGUUUCUCUUUGCAGAGAAACCAAAUAAUGCUGUCUGGGGAAAAACUCUUUUUGGUCUGCAUGCUCUCCCUUCUGAGCAGCAUUGCAGAGCAUUGCCAGUUCCUGUGAGGGCUUGGAUAAUCGUUUUAUGAACCAAUUUCCUGAGAGCUGAACACCCUUUAUGCUUUGUAUCUUCUCCUGACUUCACCUUUCUGGAGCUAUGCACAGAGGCUGCAGUAUUGAAUUCAGAGGUUUGUCUUGUAGGUCCAAGCAGUCCUGUCUAAGGUGAAGCAGCUGAAGAAGUUGAUGCUCAAGGAUAAUAACUACAAACAGAAAUAUCAGCUCUCAGCCCUUCAGAAGUGGCCAUCUUCCUUUAAGGAUCAGAGCCUGCCUAGACGCAGCUGUGGUUGCCUGCUGACAGUAGAGAUUCCUGCUCUAAGAUGAG
This is a long non-coding RNA of Oxyura jamaicensis (ruddy duck), 1136 nucleotides long. RefSeq lists it as uncharacterized. The record is from RefSeq and is a predicted model, not a curated record. NCBI's taxonomy places the organism in Eukaryota, Metazoa, Chordata, Aves, Anseriformes, Anatidae. The transcript has 3 exons.